UCCUCGUUCAAAGGAUCGCAGUCGAAGCACACAAACGGAGCAGACACAUUUAUUGUUGUCUCUCAGCCUGUCAUGGGCUAGUCAAUGCUUUGGGAGAAAGUCCCCGGACGACCUUCUUCUACAACUCGUUGUGGAAAAAAGGAACGCGGAAACGCGCCGCCAUAGAAGCAUACUGCGGCUUCUUAUUUUCUCCUCUCCUUACCUUUCUUCAGAUCGACCUUUGCCGUCGCUUGUACUCGCUUUCGGCGCUUUUGAUUGCUGCUGCUGGGGGAGGGGGAGACCUUAUGGAUGAAGAUAUGAGUCCGAGCUCUCCUGAUCUCAGUUGUGGUAGAGCAUUUGCAAUGAUUGCGGGGAGGCGGGAAAGUGUCUUCGGUCUGGGUUGGGGUUUAUGGGAGGGGGGAGGCUUUCGUCGAGAGUGAUAGUUAUGCGAUUGCUCUUCUUUCCAGCUUCACGGUUGGUCAAGGAGGGUAACUCGAUGGGGCUUAUUCUUGAGACGAGG
RNAcentral lists this RNase MRP RNA (499 nucleotides) under Pseudogymnoascus sp. VKM F-4519 (FW-2642). Its description in RNAcentral is "RNase MRP". It matches the Rfam family "RNase MRP". From Rfam's summary of the family: RNase MRP is an enzymatically active ribonucleoprotein with two distinct roles in eukaryotes. Lineage: Eukaryota; Fungi; Ascomycota; Leotiomycetes; Thelebolales; Thelebolaceae. The record is from Rfam by way of RNAcentral.